GUUAAGCGACUAAGCGUACACGGUGGAUGCCCUGGCAGUCAGAGGCGAUGAAGGACGUGCUAAUCUGCGAUAAGCGUCGGUAAGGUGAUAUGAACCGUUAUAACCGGCGAUUUCCGAAUGGGGAAACCCAGUGUGAUUCGUCACACUAUCAUUAACUGAAUCCAUAGGUUAAUGAGGCGAACCGGGGGAACUGAAACAUCUAAGUACCCCGAGGAAAAGAAAUCAACCGAGAUUCCCCCAGUAGCGGCGAGCGAACGGGGAGCAGCCCAGAGCCUGAAUCAGUGUGUGUGUUAGUGGAAGCGUCUGGAAAGGCGUGCGAUACAGGGUGACAGCCCCGUACACAAAAAUGCACAUACUGUGAGCUCGAUGAGUAGGGCGGGACACGUGGUAUCCUGUCUGAAUAUGGGGGGACCAUCCUCCAAGGCUAAAUACUCCUGACUGACCGAUAGUGAACCAGUACCGUGAGGGAAAGGCGAAAAGAACCCCGGCGAGGGGAGUGAAAAAGAACCUGAAACCGUGUACGUACAAGCAGUGGGAGCACGCUUAGGCGUGUGACUGCGUACCUUUUGUAUAAUGGGUCAGCGACUUAUAUUCUGUAGCAAGGUUAACCGAAUAGGGGAGCCGAAGGGAAACCGAGUCUUAACUGGGCGUUAAGUUGCAGGGUAUAGACCCGAAACCCGGUGAUCUAGCCAUGGGCAGGUUGAAGGUUGGGUAACACUAACUGGAGGACCGAACCGACUAAUGUUGAAAAAUUAGCGGAUGACUUGUGGCUGGGGGUGAAAGGCCAAUCAAACCGGGAGAUAGCUGGUUCUCCCCGAAAGCUAUUUAGGUAGCGCCUCGUGAAUUCAUCUCCGGGGGUAGAGCACUGUUUCGGCAAGGGGGUCAUCCCGACUUACCAACCCGAUGCAAACUGCGAAUACCGGAGAAUGUUAUCACGGGAGGCACACGGCGGGUGCUAACGUCCGUCGUGAAGAGGGAAACAACCCAGACCGCCAGCUAAGGUCCCAAAGUCAUGGUUAAGUGGGAAACGAUGUGGGAAGGCCCAGACAGCCAGGAUGUUGGCUUAGAAGCAGCCAUCAUUUAAAGAAAGCGUAAUAGCUCACUGGUCGAGUCGGCCUGCGCGGAAGAUGUAACGGGGCUAAACCAUGCACCGAAGCUGCGGCAGCGACGCUUAUGCGUUGUUGGGUAGGGGAGCGUUCUGUAAGCCUGUGAAGGUGUACUGUGAGGUAUGCUGGAGGUAUCAGAAGUGCGAAUGCUGACAUAAGUAACGAUAAAGCGGGUGAAAAGCCCGCUCGCCGGAAGACCAAGGGUUCCUGUCCAACGUUAAUCGGGGCAGGGUGAGUCGACCCCUAAGGCGAGGCCGAAAGGCGUAGUCGAUGGGAAACAGGUUAAUAUUCCUGUACUUGGUGUUACUGCGAAGGGGGGACGGAGAAGGCUAUGUUGGCCGGGCGACGGUUGUCCCGGUUUAAGCGUGUAGGCUGGUUUUCCAGGCAAAUCCGGAAAAUCAAGGCCGAGGCGUGAUGACGAGGCACUACGGUGCUGAAGCAACAAAUGCCCUGCUUCCAGGAAAAGCCUCUAAGCAUCAGGUAACAUCAAAUCGUACCCCAAACCGACACAGGUGGUCAGGUAGAGAAUA
Molecule: ribosomal RNA, 1636 nt
Filed under: Shigella flexneri
Lineage: Bacteria; Pseudomonadati; Pseudomonadota; Gammaproteobacteria; Enterobacterales; Enterobacteriaceae
Description: partial 23S ribosomal RNA
Rfam family: Bacterial large subunit ribosomal RNA
Source: RNAcentral